Molecule: long non-coding RNA, 1641 nt
Organism: Mesocricetus auratus (golden hamster)
Lineage: Eukaryota; Metazoa; Chordata; Mammalia; Rodentia; Cricetidae
Exons: 5
Source: RefSeq, a predicted model, not a curated record
CCUAAGCAAAAUGACUUGUAUGCAUGUGUGUGCCCAUCAAACUCCAUUGCCAUUGAUGUCUUCUUCCUAUAUCUAGGAACAACACCUGGUUAUAAACAACUUCCUUCUCUACCACUUGAGACUAGUUACAUGACUUCAAGACAGAGAAGCAGAGAAACCUAGUCUUCAUGGCACAUGACUCUGUGAGGCCGCAGCAUGAAAGUCCCACUACACAAGUGACUUUUCAACACAGCUCUAAGUGUGUCUGAACUUGAGUUUCCCCUCCAUCCACUGCUGUGAGAACAGUUCGCCCACAGGACUGAGGUGAAGAAGGGUGGAGACCCUCACUUCAGUAUCCAGCCACUCCCUGCCACCCAUUGUAUGCACUACCUGCGUGAAGCCCCAGGGAAAGAAUACCUACAAAGGAAGAGUAGAGGAGGGGUCUGUCUCCAUCUGUCCUGCUGUGGGGGAGCCAGCAUCCUUGCUGGGUAAAGACUUUCUGUUGUGGUCUCUUUUGCAGGGGGACAUCACCCACACUCUAGUCAGGAUGCAAAGCUCUCAGCUACUUCUCUAACACCACGCCUGCCUGCAAGCCACCACACUCCUGUCAUGGUGAUCAUGGAAUAAUUCUCUAAAACUUUUUCUUCAGGAAAGGACCGUGAAUAUGGACAGCUCAAUGCCUCCAGCUUGGUGCCUCGUGUCCUUGUCCAUCUCCACAAGGGCUGUGCAGGCCAGGCUUACUCAUAGUAGCCGAGGGCCUUGGCAGAACACCCUGUGAUCCCACCAGAACAUGAGCGUGGGAGGCUGGUGAGGAGCCGUUAACAGGCAUUUCCCCAGUCAGAAAGCUCUUUCUCACCACCUCCCAGCUUCUGCAGAUGUCUCCGGCUCUCUGCCCUACUCCACUCCCAACCCCUACUGCUGGGGUUAGUGGCAGCCUCUAAAGCUGCUUACUCACUUCAAGAAAUAAGUUCUCUGAGAUACUGUGACUCUUCACACUGCAUCCAUCUCUCUUGCUUUGAGAUCCUCUGAUAAGACAAGAGGUGGUUACUCGGCACUCUUACUUCUGUCAUCUGUGUGAUUAUAAGGGGAUUAGACAAAAAGCCUGAACCUUGGCUGGAGCAGGCUGAACUUGCCAGUGGGGACACUUUUACAAGAUUUGGAAUUUAAUGUUCUAGCUUUCACAGCUGGGAUGGCUUUACUAGCUGGCUUUGUUGAUCAACUGGACUUGGAUUUAAUGGUGACCUUCAUCCAAUGAGGUCAGAAUGUCAGAACUUCUGUAGCAUCAAAGAGGACAGAACCCAAAUGCUUAAAAGGAUGAGAAUGAAGAAAUGGGUUUCAUGUAGAACCCACUCUUUUCUGCGGUAACCAGCUCCUCAGACCUGGCUGAGUGGUACUCAGUAAGGAUCUAUCAUCAAAUUACUUUGAAACUUCUGCUACCACCUCCUUUGGUAGUGCAGUCCAGAGAAGAGAUCUGUUACCAGCACAGUUUCCCUGACCUUGUCCAAUAAGAAUAAAGGACUCCCAGAUGACUGGGAGCAGAUAUCAGCAUGAGCCAUCAAUACUUGGGACUCACAUAAUGGAAGGAGGGAAGGACUCCUGCAAGCUGUUCUGUGAGUUACACAGUCAUGCUGUGACACACAGCAGCCCCCUUCCACAAUAAAU